UUAGUGGCGGACGGGUGAGUAACGCGUGGAAAACCUGCCGUAUACUGGGGGAUAACACUUAGAAAUAGGUGCUAAUACCGCAUAAGCGCACAGCUUCGCAUGAAGCGGUGUGAAAAACUCUGGUGGUAUACGAUGGUUCCGCGUCUGAUUAGCUAGUUGGAGGGGUAAUGGCCUACCAAGGCAACGAUCAGUAGCCGGCCUGAGAGGGUGAACGGCCACAUUGGGACUGAGACACGGCCCAAACUCCUACGGAAGGCAGCAG
This 262-nucleotide ribosomal RNA is filed under the name uncultured bacterium. RNAcentral describes it as "partial 16S ribosomal RNA". It matches the Rfam family "Bacterial small subunit ribosomal RNA", at positions 92 to 354 of the family's 1533-position model. The record is from RNAcentral.